AGCGGUGGAGCAUGUGGUUUAUUCGAUGCAACGCGAAGAACCUUACCUACUCUUGACAUCCAGCGAAUCCUUUAGAGAUAGAGGAGUGCCUUCGGGAACGCUGAGACAGGUGCUGCAUGGCUGUCGUCAGCUCGUGUUGUGAAAUGUUGGGUUAAGUCCCGCAACGAGCGCAACCCUUAUCCUUUGUUGCCAGCACGUAAUGGUGGGAACUCAAAGGAAACUGCCGGUGAUAAACCGGAGGAAGGUGGGGAUGACGUCAAGUCAUCAUGGCCCUUACGAGUAGGGCUACACACGUGCUACAAUGGCAAAUACAAAAAGAAACGACCUCCCGAGAGCAAGCGGAACUCAUAAAGUCUGUCUUAUUCCGGAUUGGAGUCUGCGACUC
Molecule: ribosomal RNA, 385 nt
Filed under: Proteus mirabilis
Lineage: Bacteria; Pseudomonadati; Pseudomonadota; Gammaproteobacteria; Enterobacterales; Morganellaceae
Description: bacterial SSU rRNA
Rfam family: Bacterial small subunit ribosomal RNA
Source: RNAcentral